Molecule: ribosomal RNA, 760 nt
Filed under: Teratosphaeria considenianae
Lineage: Eukaryota; Fungi; Ascomycota; Dothideomycetes; Mycosphaerellales; Teratosphaeriaceae
Description: eukaryotic LSU rRNA
Rfam family: Eukaryotic large subunit ribosomal RNA
Source: RNAcentral
GCCUCAGUAACGGCGAGUGAAGCGGCAACAGCUCAAAUUUGAAAUCUGGCGCAAGCCCGAGUUGUAAUUUGUAGAGGAUGCUUCAGGGCAGCGGCCGGUCUAAGUUCCUUGGAACAGGACGUCAUAGAGGGUGAGAAUCCCGUAUGCGACCGGUUGGCACCCGUCACGUAGCUCCUUCGACGAGUCGAGUUGUUUGGGAAUGCAGCUCUAAAUGGGAGGUAAAUUUCUUCUAAAGCUAAAUACCGGCCAGAGACCGAUAGCGCACAAGUAGAGUGAUCGAAAGAUGAAAAGCACUUUGGAAAGAGAGUUAAAAAGCACGUGAAAUUGUUGAAAGGGAAGCGCAUGCAACCAGACUUGUCGGCGGUGUUCCGCCGGUCUUCUGACCGGUCUACUCGCCGCCGGCAGGCCAGCAUCAUCUGGGCGCGCCGGACAAAGGCGUGGGGAAUGUGGCUCCUCGGAGUGUUAUAGCCCCGCGCACAAUACGGCGCCGCUCGGGUGAGGUCCGCGCUUCGGCUAGGAUGCUGGCGUAAUGGUUGUAUGCGGCCCGUCUUGAAACACGGACCAAGGAGUCUAACAUCUAUGCGAGUGUUCGGGUGUCAAACCCCUACGCGUAAUGAAAGUGAACGGAGGUGGGAAGCGCAAGCUGCACCAUCGACCGAUCCUGAUGUCUUCGGAUGGAUUUGAGUAAGAGCAUAGCUGUUGGGACCCGAAAGAUGGUGAACUAUGCCUGAAUAGGGUGAAGCCAGAGGAAACUCUGGUG